Nothobranchius furzeri (turquoise killifish) is the source of this 1113-nucleotide non-coding RNA. The record is from RefSeq and is a predicted model, not a curated record. NCBI's taxonomy places the organism in Eukaryota, Metazoa, Chordata, Actinopteri, Cyprinodontiformes, Nothobranchiidae.
CACACUGUGCCUCACGAAGAGUAGACAUGCGGUGGAGAACCAAGUAAAAUGGAGAGUGAGCAGAGUUCCGGAUCUGAUGACGAAUCUAAAUGUGAAGGGAGAGCUGCGGCUCAUGAAGUGCAGCGUGCCUACUUGGAUGAGUCUGUGUCUCCCAGGUCAGAUACUGAAGUUUCUCCAAGCAAAAUAUUGAACCCCGGAUGGCCUCCCAACCUACUCCUCACUUGAAGACAGUCAUCACAUUCAGCGUUUGAAGAAACUGACAGCUCAUCAUGGCAAAUGUGAGCGCAGUUUUGAGAAGGCUUAUGCAAUGCAGACAAAGGAGGAGCAGGACAGAACAUUAAUGUUGCAUCAUCAACUGAACAUGAAGGGUCAUCAUCUGAAAGUGAAGAUACCAUCACCCUUAAUGAAACUCCACCUGAUGUGAUCCAAGAUGACAGCGUUCCUAUGCUCACAAGAACCCAAAGUGUAAUUGUAAGUUUGUCUUCAAAUGUUAAUGUAUAAUCUCAAUUAGGGUUGUCACGGUGUGAAAAUUGAACCUCACGGUUAUUGUGACCAAAAUUAUCACGGUUUUCGGUAUUAUCGCAGUAUUUUUUUUAAACAUGUUACAUUUUCAGACAACUAAAUAAACCCUGUAUAUCAGGAAAAUAUUGUCCUCAGUUUGUGUCUAUAUGUUGCCUAAAAUUUGUUAUUUUGUAAUUAUGUUGUUUAUUUGUUUACAUUUUUCCCCUUUAGUCUUUAAAAUACCAAUAGUUGCCCAUAACUUUUUAUUUUUUGUCUGUUGGAUGUCAUCAUUUUAAAAAUAUUAGAUCAGAUGAUACUCAGUACUCAAGUAGCCUUCUAAUCAGAUUCUCCAAUAGCAUAUUUACCUUUAUCUAAUGUAUUAAUUAUUCCAUCGGUUGCUUCCAUUAUUGCAAGUGCUGUUGUCCUCUUUUCUCUGAAUCCGUACUGACUAUGGUCUAGUAUUUCGUGUUUAUUUAAAACGUUUUCUAGUCUGAUAUUAAAUAGUUUUUCCAGGAUUUUUGAAAAUUGAGGAAGAAGUGAUACUGGCCUGUAGUUGUUAAAUAGAUGUUUAUUCCCAUGCUUAAAAAUUUGUAUUACUUUAGCUUCUUUCAU